Molecule: ribosomal RNA, 484 nt
Filed under: uncultured bacterium
Lineage: Bacteria
Description: partial 16S ribosomal RNA
Rfam family: Bacterial small subunit ribosomal RNA
Source: RNAcentral
AUUGAACGCUGGCGGCAUGCUUUACACAUGCGAGUCGAACGGCAGCGCGGGCUUCGGCCUGGCGGCGAGUGGCGAACGGGUGAGUAAUACAUCGGAACGUGCCCAGUAGUGGGGGAUAGCUCGGCGAAAGCCGGAUUAAUACCGCAUACGACCUGAGGGUGAAAGCGGGGGAUCUUCGGACCUCGCGCUAUUGGAGCGGCCGAUGGCAGAUUAGCUAGUUGGUGGGGUAAAGGCCUACCAAGGCGACGAUCUGUAGCUGGUCUGAGAGGACGACCAGCCACACUGGGACUGAGACACGGCCCAGACUCCUACGGGAGGCAGCAGUGGGGAAUUUUGGACAAUGGGCGAAGGCCUGAUCCAGCAAUGCCGCGUGUGUGAUGAAGGCCUUCGGGUUGUAAAGCACUUUUGGCGGGAACGAAAAGGACUGUGCCAAUACCACGGUUCGAUGACGGUACCCGCAGAAUAAGCACCGGCUAACUACGUG